Molecule: long non-coding RNA, 1036 nt
Organism: Schistocerca nitens (vagrant locust)
Lineage: Eukaryota; Metazoa; Arthropoda; Insecta; Orthoptera; Acrididae
Exons: 3
Source: RefSeq, a predicted model, not a curated record
AGACGCCGAGCGGGAUUAGCCGAGCGGUCUCAGGCGCUGCAGGCAUGGACUGUGCGGCUGGUCCCGGUGGAAGUUCGAGUCCUCCCUCGGCCAUGGGCAACGCUUCCAGCCCAUAAUAGUAGUUCCAGUUUCCACUACGCUGCAGUCACCUAACCCCACCGAUCCUCCACCCAUCAGGCGAACUCACCAGUUGAAUAAGCAGAAAUCAACUCAGCACCCAAACAGGCUACCUGAGACAUCUCCUGAUACAUUGGAGCAGCCACAGCACUGUUUCCAUACAAGUUCCAUGGAGCACCAGGGGUACAUUGGAGCAGGACACACAAUGGUUUCCAGACUUAAAGUUUCCCACGUCUACAAUAUGUGCACCAUUCGUUGAGCUGAUAGCACUGCAUUGUGCACUGAUGAAUUUGAUGUUAUUCUUUGCAAUGUAGAAGAUGAAUACUAAUGACAGUAAAUGUGUUGUUAUAGGCUUGUCUUCAGAUCGAGAGCUCAGUGUUGCGGUAAUUUUUUAAAAACCACUAAUUUAUUGACAUAAAAGUAAUGCUGACGAAUUAUGAUAUCGAUUAUGUCAAAAUUCAGCACAAAUAAUUGCAAUGUUCAACUAUCAAACUCUUACAGUGUUACUAGAUUGGCGUACAAUAUGUGUUGGGGAUUACCAGAGAACAGUGAAGAUACACAACGAGAAUACAACGCAGUGCACUCACUUUCAGGAACCUACGUUUAGAUACUUGCAAUAUGCUAUCAACACCAUACAAUGUGCAGUGGAGGAGUGUCUCUGUUGGUACCUUAUGUGUGUGAAUCUUACAGAAAUAUCUAGCGUGCCCUUACAGACCUUGCCCGUCAUAACGCUUCAGAGGAAGUAUUUGCUCUGAUUUACGAUGCAUGCUGUGCUUCUGUACACAGUAUUUGCCACGCAUCAGCAUCACAGCCGGAUGUUGGUGCAGAAUUAUGUGCAUAUUUUAACGUAUUCGUUCACCAUACUGUGUUAACCCAAAUAAAAGGAAAUGAAUAAUAAAUGAUGGUUUCUGACUCUAAA